RNAcentral lists this ribosomal RNA (468 nucleotides) under uncultured bacterium. Its description in RNAcentral is "partial 16S ribosomal RNA". It matches the Rfam family "Bacterial small subunit ribosomal RNA", at positions 28 to 507 of the family's 1533-position model. The record is from RNAcentral.
GACGAACGCUGGCGGCGUGCUUAACACAUGCAAGUCGAACGGAAAGGCCCUGCUUUUGCGGGGCGCUCGAGUGGCGAACGGGUGAGUAACACGUGAGUAACCUGCCCUUGACUUUGGGAUAACUUCAGGAAACUGGGGCUAAAACCGGAUAGGAUCUCUUGCUGCAUGGUGGGGGUUGGAAAGUUCCGGCGGUUGGGGAUGGACUCGCAGGUUAUGAGCUUGUUGGUGGGGUAGUGGCUUACAAAGGGUGCGACGGGUAGCCGGCCUGAGAGGGUGACCGGCCACAAUGGGACUGAGAUACGGCCCAGUCUGCAACGGGAGGCAGCAGUGGGGAGUAUUACACAGUGGGCGGGAGCGUGAGGCAGCGACGCCGCGUGCGGAAUAACGGCCUACGGGUUAUGAACCGCUUUCGACGGUGACGAGGAGUGAGUGACGGUAAUGGGUAAAGAAGCACCGGCUAACUACGUG